This 302-nucleotide ribosomal RNA is filed under the name uncultured bacterium. RNAcentral describes it as "partial 16S ribosomal RNA". It matches the Rfam family "Bacterial small subunit ribosomal RNA", at positions 508 to 807 of the family's 1533-position model. The record is from RNAcentral.
GCAGCAGCCGCGGGAAUACAGAGGGUGCGAGCGUUAAUCGGAUUUACUGGGCGUAAAGCGUGCGUAGGCGGCUUCUUAAGUCGGAUGUGAAAUCCCUGAGCUUAACUUAGGAAUUGCAUUCGAUACUGGGAAGCUAGAGUAUGGGAGAGGAUGGUAGAAUUCCAGGUGUAGCGGUGAAAUGCGUAGAGAUCUGGAGGAAUACCGAUGGCGAAGGCAGCCAUCUGGCCUAAUACUGACGCUGAGGUACGAAAGCAUGGGGAGCAAACAGGAUUAGAGACCCCAGUAGUCCCUGUCUCUUAUAC